GAUGAACGCUGGCGGCGUGCCUAAUACAUGCAAGUCGAGCGAACAGACGAGGAGCUUGCGCCUUUGACGUUAGCGGCGGACGGGUGAGUAACACGUGGAUAACCUACCUAUAAGACUGGGAUAACUUCGGGAAACCGGAGCUAAUACCGGAUAACAUGUUGAACCGCAUGGUUCAACAGUGAAAGACGGUCUUGCUGUCACAUAUAGAUGGAUCCGCGCCGCAUUAGCUAGUUGGUAAGGUAACGGCUUACCAAGGCAACGAUGCGUAGCCGACCUGAGAGGGUGAUCGGCCACACUGGAACUGAGACACGGUCCAGACUCCUACGGGAGGCAGCAGUAGGGAAUCUUCCGCAAUGGGCGAAAGCCUGACGGAGCAACGCCGCGUGAGUGAAGAAGGUCUUCGGAUCGUAAAACUCUGUUAUUAGGGAAGAACAAAUGUGUAAGUAACUAUGCACGUCUUGACGGUACCUAAUCAGAAAGCCACGGCUAACUACGUG
Molecule: ribosomal RNA, 497 nt
Filed under: uncultured bacterium
Lineage: Bacteria
Description: partial 16S ribosomal RNA
Rfam family: Bacterial small subunit ribosomal RNA
Source: RNAcentral